GAAAUGCGAUACGUAAUGUGAAUUGCAGAAUUCCGUGAAUCAUCGAAUCUUUGAACGCACCUUGCGCUUCUUGGUAUUCCAGGAAGCAUGUCUGUUUGAGUCUCAGUUGAUCUCUCGCUGCCUUAACCGGCGGUGGACGUGAGCGGCUGGCGGUUUAACCCGGCCACCGCUUGAAACGCAUCAGCUGGCCUCUGAAUGCGCGCGGCGCGUUCCCACGGCUUGAUGGUACCUUUUAGGUUCUCUGGCUGCUAGGAAGCGUCGACGCUUUGGAGGCGAUUCAGGCUUGUCGCCCGUGCGCGCUGGUUUUCCGGCCCACACUUGACACCUUGAGCUCAAAUCAGGCAAGACUACCCGCUGAACUUAA
Molecule: unclassified non-coding RNA, 364 nt
Filed under: uncultured fungus
Lineage: Eukaryota; Fungi
Description: sequence contains ITS1
Rfam family: 5.8S ribosomal RNA (bases 1-105)
Source: RNAcentral